RNAcentral lists this ribosomal RNA (914 nucleotides) under uncultured archaeon. Its description in RNAcentral is "bacterial SSU rRNA". It matches the Rfam family "Archaeal small subunit ribosomal RNA", at positions 1 to 922 of the family's 1478-position model. The record is from RNAcentral.
UUCCGGUUGAUCCUGCCGGACCCUACUGCUAUCGGGGUGGGACUAAAACAGGCGAGUCGCAUGAUGAAGUCGUGGCAUACGGCUCAGUAACACGUGGCUAACCUACCCUUGAGACGGAGACAACCCCGGGAAACUGGGGCUAAUCCCAGAUAGAUGAGAACUCCUGGAACGGGUUCUCGUCCAAAAGGUUUAGCGCUCAAGGAUGGGGCCGCGGCCGAUCAGGCUGUUGGUGAGGCAACGGCUCACCAAACCUUUAACCGGUACGGGCCGUGGGAGCGGGUGCCCGGAGAUGGGAACUGAGACAAGGUCCCAGGCCCUACGGGGCGCAGCCGUUGCGAAACCUCGUCAAUGCACGAAAGUGUGAACGGGCUACCCCGAGUGCUGUCCGCUGAGGACGGCUUUUCUCUGCUGUAAGGAGGCGGAGGAAUAAGGAGAGGGCAAGUUCUGGUGUCAGCCGCCGCGGUAAUACCAGCUCUCCGAGUGGUGGGGAUGUUUAUUGGGCCUAAAGCGUCCGUAGCCUGCCCUUCAAGUCUUUCGUUAAAUCCAGCGAUUCAAUCGUUGGACUGCGGGAGAUACUGUUCGGCUAGGGGACGGGAGAGGCCGACGGUAUUUCCGGGGUAGGGGUGAAAUCCUAUAAUCCCGGGAAGACCACCAGUGGCGAAGGCUGUCGGCUAGAACGCGCCCGACGGUGAGGGAUGAAAGCUGGGGGAGCGAACCGGAUUAGAUACCCGGGUAGUCCCAGCUGUAAACGAUGCAGGCUAGGUGUUUGGGCGGCUACGAGCCGCUCUAGUGCCGCAGGGAAGCCGUUAAGCCUGCCGCCUGGGGAGUACGGCCGCAAGGCUGAAACUUAAAGGAAUUGGCGGGGGAGCACCACAAGGGGUGAAGCUUGCGGUUUAAUUGGAUUCAACGCCGGA